Molecule: ribosomal RNA, 253 nt
Filed under: uncultured bacterium
Lineage: Bacteria
Description: partial 16S ribosomal RNA
Rfam family: Bacterial small subunit ribosomal RNA
Source: RNAcentral
GACGGAGGGUGCAAGCGUUGUUCGGAAUUACUGGGCGUAAAGCGUACGUAGGCGGUUGAUUAAGUCAAAUGUAAAAGCCCGGGGCUCAACCCCGUGGUCGCACUUGAUACUGGUCGACUAGAGGGCGAUAGAGGAAAGCGGAAUUCCGAGUGUAGCGGUGAAAUGCGUAGAUAUUCGGAGGAACAUCGGUAGCGAAAGCGGCUUUCUGGGUCGCUCCUGACGCUGAGGUACGAAAGCGUGGGUAGCAAACGGG